UACGUAGGGGGCAAGCGUUGUCCGGAAUUAUUGGGCGUAAAGAGCGCGUAGGCGGUCCGGUAAGUCGGCUGUGAAAGUCAAGGGCUCAACCCUUGAAAGCCGGCCGAUACUGUCGGACUAGAGUCCGGAAGAGGCGAGUGGAAUUCCCGGUGUAGCGGUGGAAUGCGCAGAUAUCAGGAGGAACACCAAUAGCGAAGGCAGCUUGCUGGGACGGUACUGACGCUAAGGCGCGAAAGCGUGGGGAGCGAACAGG
Molecule: ribosomal RNA, 253 nt
Filed under: uncultured bacterium
Lineage: Bacteria
Description: partial 16S ribosomal RNA
Rfam family: Bacterial small subunit ribosomal RNA
Source: RNAcentral